GAUUAAAUGGCUGAUAAAAGUGGUAGAUUGUAAAUCUAUAUAUGAAAUGAUAUGUUUCUUUAAUCA
RNAcentral lists this transfer RNA (66 nucleotides) under Polypedilum henicurum. RNAcentral describes it as "tRNA-Tyr". It matches the Rfam family "tRNA". From Rfam's summary of the family: Transfer RNA (tRNA) molecules are approximately 80 nucleotides in length. Their secondary structure includes four short double-helical elements and three loops (D, anti-codon, and T loops). Lineage: Eukaryota; Metazoa; Arthropoda; Insecta; Diptera; Chironomidae. The record is from RNAcentral.